Molecule: ribosomal RNA, 437 nt
Filed under: uncultured Planctomycetales bacterium
Lineage: Bacteria; Pseudomonadati; Planctomycetota; Planctomycetia; Planctomycetales
Also listed under: 1 other name
Description: bacterial SSU rRNA
Rfam family: Bacterial small subunit ribosomal RNA
Source: RNAcentral
GUGACGAAGCGACGCCGCGUGUGGGAAGAAGGCCUUCGGGUUGUAAACCACUGUCGGGAGUUAAGAAAUGCAAGGGUGCUAAUAGUAUCCUUGCUUGACUAAGGCUCCGGAGGAAGCCACGGCUAACUCUGUGCCAGCAGCCGCGGUAAUACAGAGGCGGCAAGCGUUGUUCGGAAUUAUUGGGCGUAAAGAGCACGUAGGCGGCUAUGUAAGUCGGUUGUGAAAGCCUUCCGCUCAACGGAAGAACAGCAUCCGAUACUGCAUGGCUUGAGUGCGGGAGGGGAGAGUGGAACUUCUGGUGGAGCGGUGAAAUGCGUAGAUAUCAGAAGGAACGCCGGCGGCGAAAGCGGCUCUCUGGCCCAUAACUGACGCUGAGUGUGCGAAAGCUAGGGGAGCAAACGGGAUUAGAUACCCCGGUAGUCCUAGCCGUAAACGAU